Zea mays is the source of this 633-nucleotide long non-coding RNA. RefSeq lists it as uncharacterized. The transcript has 2 exons. The record is from RefSeq and is a predicted model, not a curated record. NCBI's taxonomy places the organism in Eukaryota, Viridiplantae, Streptophyta, Magnoliopsida, Poales, Poaceae.
GAACUGCUGGAGAAGAAUUCGAGGUGAGGCUGUCGGGUGGGCGGGGGCUCGGCGAUGCGCUCUGCACCGCCGUGGGGUUUGAAAGGACAGGAGGGCGAAGGACAGAGGAAGUGGAGGGGGCCGUGGAAGGCGGAGGGUGCUCCGGGCCCACCAGGAUCUCGAAAAAGGUCGAGCAGCAGGUGGUUUUGGUGGCUGGUGCCUUCUGGGAAUGGAGCACAGCACCCUCCGAUCCGUGCCUUCAAGCUCGUGCGCCGCAGGUCCUGUGGCUCGCUCCUCGACCUUAAGACUUGGCGAUUUUUGCGAGCCGAUGAAAAUGCCAUGAGAAGGAAUUGAGAGAAGGCCAGAUUCAUGUUUACAUGCUGCUACUGCCGAUGUCACAGCUUUUGGAUUCUUAUUAGAUUGAACUACCGGUGAUAAUAAACUGAAAAAAAUCUAAAAUAUUUAGAGCUUACAAUCGUUUUACUGGCCUCCUAGAAAUAGUUGAAUAUAUUGACUGAUUAUUCUGUAUUUGUCAGGCAGUCCAUUAAAACUAUAGUGGAAUACAAAACGGAGAUGUUGUAAACUUCAUAAGACAUAGACACAUGAUUGUAAGUGUUUGCACAUUUUUUCUAUAGCUGGGCAAAUGAUUGAUUC